GCUAGGUGUGGUGGCACGCACCUGUAGUCCCACCUACUGUGGAGGCUGAGGCAGGAGGAUCACUUGAGCCUAGGUGUUCUGGGCUGCAGUGAGCUGUGACCAUCAGGUGUUUGCACUAAAUUUAGCAUCAAUACAGUGAUCUCCCAGGAGCAGGGAACCACCAGGUUGCCUAAGGAGAGGUGAACCAACCCAGGUCAGAAAUGGAGCAGGUCAAAGUUCCAGGGCUGAUCAAUAGCGGGAUGGCGGCUGUGGAUAACCACUGCACUUCAGCCUGGGCAACAUAGUGAGACCCUCUUUUGU
Molecule: non-coding RNA, 300 nt
Organism: Gorilla gorilla gorilla (western lowland gorilla)
Lineage: Eukaryota; Metazoa; Chordata; Mammalia; Primates; Hominidae
Rfam family: Metazoan signal recognition particle RNA
About the family: The signal recognition particle (SRP) is a universally conserved ribonucleoprotein. It is involved in the co-translational targeting of proteins to membranes.
Source: Rfam